AGCUCAAAAGUCAUCAUGCUUUCUCUGAAUUGUUAGCCCAAUAUUCACAGAGCGGUUAUAGGUAUAUUGAGAUGAUUUCUUUGGAGCAAUUCUUGACAACAUUUGUAGUUGAGGCCUUUAGAAUGGAAGAAUGUAUUUCACUAAUUUUUGUAUACAUUUCUUGUUUUUUAUUUAGUGAUAAAGGAAUCUGAAUUGAGCAUAAAUUAUGUUGUAAUAUGAUUUCUUAAGCCUAGACUAGCAGACUAAAUAUUGUAAUUACAUUUGAGUAAUUAAUAAAAAUCUAUUUAUGUUA
Humulus lupulus (European hop) is the source of this 292-nucleotide long non-coding RNA. RefSeq lists it as uncharacterized. The record is from RefSeq and is a predicted model, not a curated record. NCBI's taxonomy places the organism in Eukaryota, Viridiplantae, Streptophyta, Magnoliopsida, Rosales, Cannabaceae. The transcript is spliced from 2 exons.